UACGAAGGGGGCUAGCGUUGCUCGGAAUUACUGGGAGUAAAGCGCACGUAGGCGGUCUUUUAAGUCGGGGGUGAAAUCCUGGAGCUCAACUCCAGAACUGCCUUCGAUACUGGAAGACUCGAGUCCGGGAGAGGUGAGUGGAACUGCGAGUGUAGAGGUGAAAUUCGUAGAUAUUCGCAAGAACACCAGUGGCGAAGGCGGCUCACUGGCCCGGUACUGACGCUGAGGUGCGAAAGCGUGGGGAGCAAACAGG
RNAcentral lists this ribosomal RNA (253 nucleotides) under uncultured bacterium. RNAcentral describes it as "partial 16S ribosomal RNA". It matches the Rfam family "Bacterial small subunit ribosomal RNA", at positions 524 to 776 of the family's 1533-position model. The record is from RNAcentral.